This 424-nucleotide ribosomal RNA is filed under the name uncultured bacterium. RNAcentral describes it as "partial 16S ribosomal RNA". It matches the Rfam family "Bacterial small subunit ribosomal RNA", at positions 360 to 776 of the family's 1533-position model. The record is from RNAcentral.
AAUUUUUUACAAGGGGCGCAAGCCUGAUCCAGCCAUGUCGCGUGAGUGAAAAAGGCCUUCGGGUUGUAAAGCUCUUUCGGACGGAAAGAAAUCGCGCAGGAUAAUACCCUUCGCGGAAGACGGUACGGUUUUAAGAAGCACCUGCUAACUACGGCCCUGCAGCCUCGGUAAUACGUAGGGUGCGAGCGUUAAUCGGAAUUACUGGGCGUAAAGCGUGCGCAGGCGGUUGAUUAAGACAGGCGUGAAAUCCCCGGGCUUAACCUGGGAACUGCGCUUGUGACUGGUCAGCUAGAGUACGGCAGAGGGGGGUGGAAUUCCACGUGUAGCAGUGAAAUGCGUAGAGAUGUUGAGGAACACCGAUGGCGAAGGCAGCCCCCUGGGCCGAUACUGACGCUCAUGCACGAAAGCGUGGGUAGCAAACAGG